CUAGAGUAGUAUUAGUUAAGGUCUUGAAACUCAAAAAAUUUGGCGGUAUUUUAGUCUAUUUAGAGGAACCUGUAUUUUAAUCGAUAGUCCACGUUGGAUCUUACUUAAAUUUGUUUAUCAAUUUGUAUACCGCCGUUAUUUGAAAAUUUUAUAAGAAUAAUAAUUUUCAGAAUUUUUAAUUAAAAAAUAAAUCAGGUCAAGGUGCAGUUUAUGUUUAAGUUUUUAUGGGUUACAAUAAAUUUAUUUAUACGGAUUAACUUUUUGAAAUUAAGUUAUGAAGGAGGAUUUAAUAGUAAAUUUUUAAAGAUUAAAAAAUUGAUU
This 321-nucleotide ribosomal RNA is filed under the name Sciapus wiedemanni. RNAcentral describes it as "partial 12S ribosomal RNA". The record is from RNAcentral. Lineage: Eukaryota; Metazoa; Arthropoda; Insecta; Diptera; Dolichopodidae.